This 224-nucleotide long non-coding RNA is filed under the name Elaeis guineensis (African oil palm). RNAcentral's name for it is "long non-coding RNA (EGUI_LNC012940)". Lineage: Eukaryota; Viridiplantae; Streptophyta; Magnoliopsida; Arecales; Arecaceae. The record is from RNAcentral.
GCCGACUGCCCUCCAUUAAAACCCCCAACUCUCUCUCUCUUUCUCUCUCUCUCAUAUUCGUCUUACUUUCUAGGUUGAGCGUUCGAUCUGGUUGUUAGACUUUGUGCGAGGUAGGGAUUUCCUACCAGAGCGGAUCUCCUCCAUCCACGGCUUUGGUGUUGGGGUCCGGUCGUCGGUGAGUGGAUCUUGUGGUGGAGAGGGAGUGGUAGGACAUUCGGAGCAUG